RNAcentral lists this transfer RNA (74 nucleotides) under Campylobacter lari. RNAcentral's name for it is "tRNA-Gly". It matches the Rfam family "tRNA". From Rfam's summary of the family: Transfer RNA (tRNA) molecules are approximately 80 nucleotides in length. Lineage: Bacteria; Pseudomonadati; Campylobacterota; Epsilonproteobacteria; Campylobacterales; Campylobacteraceae. The record is from RNAcentral. RNAcentral also lists the same sequence under 1 other name.
GCGAAUGUAGUUCAAUGGUAGAACUUCAGCCUUCCAAGCUGACUAUGCGGGUUCGAUUCCCGUCAUUCGCUCCA